UCCGAGUUGACCCCGGCAGUCUCCCAAGAGUCCCCGGCAUUACCCGCUGGCAACAUGGAACGAGGGUUGCGCUCGUUGCGGGACUUAACCCAACAUCUCACGACACGAGCUGACGACAACCAUGCACCACCUGUGCACGGCCUUUACGGACCCCGCAUCUCUGCGAGAUUUCCGUGUAUGUCAAGCCUUGGUAAGGUUCUUCGCGUUGCGUCGAAUUAAGCCACAUGCUCCGCUGCUUGUGCGGGCCCCCGUCAAUUCCUUUGAGUUUUAGCCUUGCGGCCGUACUCCCCAGGCGGGACGCUUAAUGCGUUAGCUGCGGCACAGAGGGCGUGGAAUACCCCCUACACCUAGCGCCCACCGUUUACGGCGUGGACUAC
RNAcentral lists this unclassified non-coding RNA (377 nucleotides) under uncultured Actinomycetes bacterium. Its description in RNAcentral is "uncultured actinobacterium contains 16S-23S intergenic spacer region". Lineage: Bacteria; Bacillati; Actinomycetota; Actinomycetes. The record is from RNAcentral.